GAUGAAGAACGCAGCGAAAUGCGAUAAGUAGUGUGAAUUGCAGAAUUCAGUGAAUCAUCGAAUCUUUGAACGCACAUUGCGCCCCUUGGUAUCCCGAGGGGCAUGCCUGUUCGAGCGUCAUUUCACCACUCAAGCCUGGCUUGGUGUUGGGCGACGUCCUCUUUGGGGACGCGCCUCGAAACGCUCGGCGGCGUGGCACCGGCUUUAAGCGUAGCAGAAUCUUUCGCUUUGGAAGUCGGGGCCCCGUCUGCCGGAAGACCUGCUCGCAAGGUUGACCUCGGAUCAGGCAGGGAUACCCGCUGAACUUAAGCAUAUCAAUAAAGCGGAGGA
This 330-nucleotide unclassified non-coding RNA is filed under the name soil metagenome. RNAcentral's name for it is "partial contains 5.8S ribosomal RNA, internal transcribed spacer 2, and large subunit ribosomal RNA". The stretch from base 1 to 120 matches the Rfam family "5.8S ribosomal RNA", at positions 35 to 154 of the family's 154-position model. The record is from RNAcentral.